RNAcentral lists this ribosomal RNA (459 nucleotides) under uncultured bacterium. Its description in RNAcentral is "partial 16S ribosomal RNA". It matches the Rfam family "Bacterial small subunit ribosomal RNA", at positions 338 to 795 of the family's 1533-position model. The record is from RNAcentral.
CCUACGGGAGGCAGCAGUGAGGAAUAUUGGUCAAUGGCCGCAGGGCUGAACCAGCCAAGUAGCGUGAGGGAUGACGGUCCUAUGGAUUGUAAACUUCUUUUGUAAGGGAGCAAAGGGCGCCACGUGUGGCGUUUUGCGAGUACCUGAAGAAAAAGCAUCGGCUAACUCCGUGCCAGCAGCCGCGGUAAUACGGAGGAUGCGAGCGUUAUCCGGAUUUAUUGGGUUUAAAGGGUGCGCAGGCGGAAUGUAAAGUCAGUGGUAAAAGUUUGGGGCUCAACCCCUUAGUGCCGUUGAGACUGGCGUCCUUGAGUGAGCGAGAGGUAGGCGGAAUGCGUGGUGUAGCGGUGAAAUGCUUAGAUAUCACGAAGAACUCCGAUGGCGAAGGCAGCAUGCUGGCCUUUAACUGACGCUGAUGCUCGAAAGCGUGGGUAUCGAACAGGAUUAGAUACCCCUGUAGUC